Long non-coding RNA from Daphnia pulicaria, 400 nucleotides. RefSeq lists it as uncharacterized. NCBI's taxonomy places the organism in Eukaryota, Metazoa, Arthropoda, Branchiopoda, Diplostraca, Daphniidae. The record is from RefSeq and is a predicted model, not a curated record. The transcript has 3 exons.
UGCAACAACCGAUGAUUCGUUGUAUCCUACAGAUUGAUGAGUUAUGGGAUGAAGAAGUCCAGGCAAUCUUUUGAUGUUUUCGUUAAUAUAAUUUGAUUGUAGUGGAAUAAUCAUUUGAUAUGGAUGUCAAUAAUAAGAUUUUCAGUGUUACCGGCUUAAAAUAAAUGUAUCGUCUACCAAGUCUUCUGAGAACAGCAGCUCUUCGCCAGAUCGCUCAAGCAUACAGUUAUAUGUCUAAAGAUGUUCCAUUUGCAGCUGAUGUACGAGCCUGAAUGUUGCAGGUUGUAGAUGUUCUUGCUGAUGCAGUUAAAGGACAUAAUGUUAUUAAAGUACAAUCCUUGGCCUUACAAUCACUGAUCAGUUGGUAUAAAUUGAUAUUUUUUUUUUAAAUAAAUUGGGC